This 403-nucleotide ribosomal RNA is filed under the name uncultured bacterium. RNAcentral describes it as "partial 16S ribosomal RNA". It matches the Rfam family "Bacterial small subunit ribosomal RNA", at positions 30 to 526 of the family's 1533-position model. The record is from RNAcentral.
AUUGAACGCUGGCGGCAGGCCUAACACAUGCAAGUCGAGCGAGCGGCGGACGGGUGAGCAAUGUAUGGGGACUGCCCGAUAGAGGGGGAUAACCACUGGAAACGGUAGCUAAUACCGCAUACUAUCGGAUAACCCAUAUGGGAUUAGCUAGUAGGGGAGGUAAAGGCACACCUAGGCGACGAACCCUAGCUGGUCUGAGAGGAUGAUCAGCCACACUGGGACUGAUACACGGUCCAGACUCCUACGGAGGCAGCAGUGGGGAAUAUUGCACAAUGGGCGCAAUCCUGAUGCAGCCGUGCCGCGUGUAUGAAGAAGGCCCUCGGGUUGUAAAGUACUUUCAGUCGGGAGGCGUUACCGACAGAAGAAGCACCGGCUAACUCCGUGCCAGCGGCCGCGGUAAUAC